This 425-nucleotide ribosomal RNA is filed under the name uncultured bacterium. RNAcentral describes it as "bacterial SSU rRNA". It matches the Rfam family "Bacterial small subunit ribosomal RNA", at positions 354 to 796 of the family's 1533-position model. The record is from RNAcentral.
GUGGGGAAUCUUAGACAAUGGGGGCAACCCUGAUCUAGCCAUGCCGCGUGAUCGAUGAAGGCCUUAGGGUUGUAAAGAUCUUUCAGCUGGGAAGAUAAUGACGGUACCAGCAGAAGAAGCCCCGGCUAACUCCGUGCCAGCAGCCGCGGUAAUACGGAGGGGGCUAGCGUUGUUCGGAAUUACUGGGCGUAAAGCGCACGUAGGCGGAUUGGAAAGUUGGGGGUGAAAUCCCGGGGCUCAACCCCGGAACUGCCUUCAAAACUCCCAGUCUUGAGGUCGAGAGAGGUGAGUGGAAUUCCGAGUGUAGAGGUGAAAUUCGUAGAUAUUCGGAGGAACACCAGUGGCGAAGGCGGCUCACUGGCUCGAUACUGACGCUGAGGUGCGAAAGCGUGGGGAGCAAACAGGAUUAGAUACCCUAGUAGUCC